Molecule: non-coding RNA, 4125 nt
Organism: Cricetulus griseus (Chinese hamster)
Lineage: Eukaryota; Metazoa; Chordata; Mammalia; Rodentia; Cricetidae
Source: RefSeq, a predicted model, not a curated record
UCUCCAGUGGACCAGUCAACUACUGUGAGCACACUUAUUAAUAACCUUUGCAUCAACCUUAUGUGGUAGAUCCUAAAAGCAAAGCAGCUUACAGGUGACAAUCAUCAUAAAGGCCAGAUGGCCAUCCAGCUAAAAGGUGAUAGGGUUCAGCUGUCAAUCAAAGCACCUAUUCCUAUUGCCUAUCAUUCCUCUACCCACAUCGUCUCGUGGUCAAGUGGAACUUCUCUUGCCCUUUAUUUUAUCAUCCGUGUCGUGAAAGUCUGCUUGCUACUAUGCAUCCCGUUUCUGUAACUGACUAAUAUGACCUCUGCUUCGGAUGGGGGGAGGUGUCUCCUUGUGUUUGAUAAAGGCUGCCUCUCUCUGAACUUACUCCCUCAUUGGCUAGAAGUUGAAGGAGUCUGAAAGAGCGGCUUAGGGAAUCCUGAGCUGUCACUGUUUCCCACUUGGCCUGCCUGCUCUAAGACAGGUGAAGCUCAAAUGUGUUCACCAAGCAGAGCAUCCUGCAGGAGACUUCACAUCGUGGAGUCUACAGCUAUAGUCCACGUUGGGCAUGCACACAGGACCUUUCCCCACUCACACGGUGCUCUGUUCUCUGCAUUACAACGAACCCCUCAGCUCAUAUUUACCUGCCAUACCCUCGGGUCUUAUGAGGGGUGCAGGAGGGUGGUGGUGCUUAGGAAUUUCUGAGCACUGGGGUACUGUAGCCUUACACACCUUUCCAGAUUCCCCUCUACUCCACCAUAAUAGACAUCUUAUGGGAGCUUCAGUCUCCUUGUGGCAGAGUAAGAAUAGUGAGAAUUUACUGCAGAGCUUUGCUGCGCUGUGUAGGAACCAGCAUAUGACAGCUUACUCAUUGCAAGUGGCUAUCAAGAUACAAUGUAUGAAUACACAACACAAGAUUUCUUAUGAAUGAAUGAAUGGCCUAAAGAUACAACAUAAGAAUACAGAACACACAGAUUUCUUAUGAAUGAAGGAAUGGCAUAAAGAUAUAACAUAUGAAUACACAACUCAUGCCUUUCUUAUGAGUGAAUGAAUGGCAUAAAGGAAGAUUGGGAAGGUUGACUUGAGUCCUCUAAACCAAUGAACAACUUCUUUGAAAUUGAGCUUUUAGAAAUUUGCUCUUUGGGGUGGGAAGUAGGUGAAAGAAAAACUCAAGGGGUUGUGUGAGAGGACCACAGUAUGGCUGGGGAUCAGGAUCAUCGAAGCAGCAGCUGGAUGGACAGACAAACUUUUCAGCUCUCCAAACCUAGCCCAGCCCUGAAUUUAAGCCCAAAGCUUUGCACAGGAGACUUCCAGAAUGACUGGAUUCUUGUGUGUGUGUGUGUGUGUGUGUGUGUGUGUGUGUGUGUGUGUGUUUCAGAAGGAGGGAGGUGGCAUGCAUGACACAGCUGUUUUCUUUUUUGUUGUUGUGGUUUUGUUUUUUGAGACAGGGUUUCUCUGAAGCUUUGGAGGCUGUCCUGGAAUUCACUCAGUAGACCAGGCUCACCUCGAACUCAUAGAGAUCCCCCUGCCUCUGCCUCCCGAGUGCUGGGAUUAAAGGGGUGCAUCACCACUGCCUGGCUACACAACUGUUUUCUAUGAAGAUAGCAAAUGACAAUAUUUCAUUGCUACUAUUGGAAUGAAAACCCGAUUAUCAAACGGAUACAGAGACUAAACAUGUGGAGUGCUGAGAGACUCUCUCAGCUAAGACCAAAGACCUUGAAAAACAGAAAAAGGCUUGAGCAGAAGGUAGCUGUCUUGUCUCUGUGGCUGAUAGGGACUAGCUUGAAAAUAAUAUAGUUAAUCAUCCCCCAUGCUUCUGGUAAUAAACAAUUGGAAUAUUUAUCUUGAAAGCCAGGUCAAGAUGUUACUGAUAUUAGGACCUCCUACUUUUUUUUAAAGCCAGAAUUUCUUAGACACAUUUAAACAGAAUCCAUUACAAACACUAAGUAACAAUAAUAACAAUUUGACUUGUAAAAUAAAAUACAAUUAACACGGCCCAGGUGCUCAGUAAUGAGCUUGAAGUAAUGACUCAUCCGUUUGAAAACUUCCCUGACUGAGGGUUCUAAUGUGAUUACAAGUGGGUCAUAAAAGUGGAUGUGAGAAACUAGUUUCCCAAGUCAGGAUUAUGAUUUACUGGAAUCCAUGACCCUACAGAGUAAGGCAAUAAUCAGCAGGCGAGAAAUGACUACUGCUGACUCAUUAAUCCAAGAACUCUGCACUAAUUACAGUGCCUCAGUUUCCCUAUUUUGUGAAAUGAAGUUGUCACCUGCCUUGCCACUCUGUUGUGUUUGGAAAGUCCUGGGAGAUAAUAGUCUGCGUGCUUUGAAAAUAAGGAAUACAUUAUAAAUGCUAAAUAAUAAUAAUAACAAUAAUAACAGGGAGUCUUUAAUGACAGGGGUCCUUUAAUAAUACUCAUCAAGUAUAAUAGCAUCACUAACCAGUAGGAACAAGACAGAGUGCGUCGGUCGUCUUAAUCAUUAGUUUGUCUCUUGGGAAAUUGGUGGGGGAUUGACGCCUCACACGGAGCCCCCACGGGCUUGCCAAUCCGGUCACUCCUGGCUCCCGGAAUAACACUUGUUUCUCUUUAAGAAGGCGAGCGGUGUAACUGGGGUGGGUGGGGCAGAGGUAUCCCACCUCACCUCCUAAACCCAGAGAGCAGGAUUAUAAAAUUCCAGCUCAUAGCUGGUUGGAGAAACAAAGAAAAGUAGACUUGGGACCCAUGAUAGCAAAGGGCUCGAGGGGCAACGGCCAAUGUGGCCACCUGAUCCUGCCACGAGGUGGCGACAAUCCAGCUGGAAAGACCCGCUGGGGAUGGCACUGAUGGUUGGCGACCGAGAAAGGAACUUCCACAGACACAAAGACAGGAUCUUCGGAACCGAGAAGAGGCGUUUGUCUUCUUCACCAGCAGUACCUCGAGAGUGGACGUGAUGAAAGCGGCUUGGAGAAGGAACGAGAAGCUCCUUUCUCAUUCCCCGGGCUUCCGCUUCCCAGGCUGCAAUCUUUGGUGUGGGGAGGGUUUUGUGAAAAAAAAAAAAAUCACCCGAAAAAGUCCAGGUUUGACCCCCUCCCUGCCGCCCGGAGGCCAGCCAGAUGCUUCCCCGCAUUCUCAGGAUUCCGGCCCGUGAGAGGACGAUUUUGAGCUCAGCCACACGCCUCGGCCCAGGAUCCUACUGCAACCGCGGCGAGUCAGACACCGCCGGGCAGGACGAUCCGGCGAGCUCACCCGGAGGCCGGACCUUGGAGGGGGCUGAACCCUGGCUCUGGGGCGCGCAGCAGCCGUAGGGUGUGUCCGCAGCUCGGCUGCACCCGGCUCCUGGGAAAAUGUCCGGAGCUGGGCGAGGCUAGGGGGUGGGUGCUCUCCUUGUUUUGUUUGGUUGUGAAUGCGAGGAACCGCCACACCCUCGUUUGUUUCAGGAGGGAGGGAGCUGGCUUUGAAACUCCGCUGUUAGGAAACUCGCAAUAGGGCGGUUAGGAAACUCCAGUCCAAGGACUGUCCUGAUCUGUAGAGCCUGGGCCGUGGCCCGCCUGGCCGCGGUGCUCCAGCCAUUGGCCUGCCUGGCCGCCACCAGCGAAUCCACGUCUCUCCAUGUCCCUCGGGCUUGGACCUCGGGUUUUGUUUUGUGCUUUCUAGUUGUUCACCACCAGACUUUGACUAAACAACACUGGAGCUUCCAAGAAUCUUUUUUUUUUUUUUUGCAAGAUUUCUUCUGACAGAAUUAUUGGGACUAUAGGAGACCAUAUGAACAAAACAACAAAACACUCUGAAAGAUGCUUCAAAAUCUAGAACUGUAACACAAUUCCUGGACAUUCCUGCUGGAAGGACAGAAGACUGGGGUGAUGAAAGUGGCCCAAGCAUUUUGAAGAUGACUCAUAGAGGCGACCUCAGAGCCGGAAACUGUGACUCAGCAUGGCAAAGGCAGUCAUACCAGUGACUCAUUGUGAUACCACACUGUGUUGAAAAAUCUCGUUCCUUAGCAUUUGGGGUGGGGUGAACGUUGUACAAACCAAGAAGGCACAGGAACCCAGGGAGUAAACCAUGUCUCACCAGUUUUCUCAUAUCCUAUUUCCAAGCUGUACAAGGGGGAAAAAUUAUCCAUGUAUUAGCUACUUUUCUAUUGCUGAGAUAAAACAUCAUUGUAUGUG